This 667-nucleotide long non-coding RNA is filed under the name Mytilus galloprovincialis (Mediterranean mussel). The record is from RNAcentral. Lineage: Eukaryota; Metazoa; Mollusca; Bivalvia; Mytilida; Mytilidae.
GAUAUAUGGAAUAUUUAUUAAUGACACAAAACCAGUACAUGAACAGCAAUAAAGAAAACAUACAAAGAGCAAAUGAACAGCGCUUUAUUGUUGUUCUUCAUCUCAAAAUCACAUUGAGACAUUGUUUGUAUAGCAUAUAGACAUUGUUUUGGUUCCAACACUGCAUAUAUUGCUGCCGUUGUAGUGUACAGUACCAGGUGUAAGACAAACAGAUAGGAUCGAAAACAACGGGCUUUCUAUGAACUGAUCUUUAAUUCCGGAUUUUCUUCUUUUACUUUAUCGACAAACAUUUACUAUACAUGUAUAAUCAUUAAGUUGUACAGUAGGCAUGGCAGUUUGCAACAAUAUUUUCUCAGAUUACCAGUUAACAUACACAAAAUAUGUAGCGACAAAAAAAAAAUAGCUAACAGCUUGAUGAUGCCUGCUUUCCUGGUCCGUUUGUGAAAAUUGACGUUUUUAAUGUUCCAGACGGGUUAAAUCUGUACGUUCCAAACUCUUUUCUUUUGAAAAUUUUCCUAUGAAACAAUAAAAACACAAGAGGAUUCACGAGGCUAUUCAAUGGCGCCAAGACGUACAAAAGUUGAAAAGUAGCUCCAAAUUUAAUCAAUUUCCACAUCAUCAACGAUGUACCAACACACACCGGUGUCCAGCAAACAAUGUAUGCUGU